This 301-nucleotide unclassified non-coding RNA is filed under the name Zea mays. RNAcentral's name for it is "misc RNA Zm00001eb134250". The record is from RNAcentral. Lineage: Eukaryota; Viridiplantae; Streptophyta; Magnoliopsida; Poales; Poaceae.
GCUUCACGAUGUUCUUGUGCCGGAUGCUGCCCAGCGUCUCCACCUCCGUGCGGAGCUCGCGGUCGCCGAGCCACCCGCCGCCGCCGCCGUCGCUUGUUGUGCUGUCUCUCGUGUUGGUUGUGUUGGUCAUCGCCGCCGCCGCCGCCCAGUCCACCUGCUUGCUGCUCGGCCCACGCAGCAGCCGUUUCGACGACGACAACCACAGCUUCUUCACCGCCACCAGCUCGCCGCUGCUAAGCUCGAUCUUGUACACGGUCCCAGAGCCCCCGUGCCCCACGAUAUUCUUGUCGAUCAGCGCCUC